This 200-nucleotide ribosomal RNA is filed under the name uncultured bacterium. Its description in RNAcentral is "partial 16S ribosomal RNA". It matches the Rfam family "Bacterial small subunit ribosomal RNA", at positions 328 to 539 of the family's 1533-position model. The record is from RNAcentral.
ACGCUCGACACCUACUGGAGGCAGCAGUGGGGAAUAUUGCACAAUGGGGGAAACCCUGAUGCAGCAACGCCGCGUGAAGGAAGACGGUUUUCGGAUUGUAAACUUCUGUUCUUAGUGAAGAUAGUGACGGUAGCUAAGGAGCAAGCCACGGCUAACUACGUGCCUAGCAGCCGCGGUAAUCUGAGGCGGGCUGGCAAGGC